UACUAGGAGGUGCAGUGUCGUGAAUUAUUGGGCGUAAAGCGCGCGCAGGCGGUUUCUUAAGUCUGAUGUGAAAGCCCACGGCUCAACCGUGGAGGGUCAUUGGAAACUGGGGAACUUGAGUGCAGAAGAGAAAAGCGGAAUUCCACGUGUAGCGGUGAAAUGCGUAGAGAUGUGGAGGAACACCAGUGGCGAAGGCGGCUUUUGGUCUGUAACUGACGCUG
RNAcentral lists this ribosomal RNA (221 nucleotides) under uncultured bacterium. Its description in RNAcentral is "partial 16S ribosomal RNA". It matches the Rfam family "Bacterial small subunit ribosomal RNA", at positions 548 to 748 of the family's 1533-position model. The record is from RNAcentral.